UGGGGAAUAUUGCACAAUGGGCGAAAGCCUGAUGCAGCAACGCCGCGUGAGCGAUGAAGGCCUGGUCGUAAAGCUCUGUCCUCAAGGAAGAUAAUGACGGUACUUGAGGAGGAAGCCCGGCUAACUACGUGCC
RNAcentral lists this ribosomal RNA (133 nucleotides) under uncultured bacterium. RNAcentral describes it as "partial 16S ribosomal RNA". It matches the Rfam family "Bacterial small subunit ribosomal RNA", at positions 355 to 509 of the family's 1533-position model. The record is from RNAcentral.